GACGAACGCUGGCGGCGUGCUUAACACAUGCAAGUCGAACGGAAAGGGCCUGCUUUUGGGGGGUGCUCGAGUGGCGAACGGGUGAGUAACACGUGAGUAUCCUGCCCUUGACUUUGGGAUAACUUCAGGAAACUGGGGCUAAUACCUACUAGGAGCGCCUGCUUCAUGGUGGGGGUUGGAAAGGUUCGGCGGUUGGGGAUGGACUAGGGGCUUAUCAGCUGGUUGGUGGGGUAGUGGCUUACCAAGGCUUUGACGGGUAGCCGGCCUGGGAGGGUGACCGGCCACAUUGGGACUGAGAUAGGGCCCAGCCUGCAACGGGAGGCAGAAGUGGGGAUUAUUCGACAAUGGGCGGCAGCCUGAUGCAGCACCGUCGCGUGCGGGAUGACGGCUUUCGGGUUGUAAACCGCUUUCGCCUGUGACGAAGAGUGAGUGACGGUAAUGGGUAAAGAAGCAACGGCUAACUACGUG
RNAcentral lists this ribosomal RNA (468 nucleotides) under uncultured bacterium. Its description in RNAcentral is "partial 16S ribosomal RNA". It matches the Rfam family "Bacterial small subunit ribosomal RNA", at positions 28 to 507 of the family's 1533-position model. The record is from RNAcentral.